GGUCUCUUCUUCAGCCCUUGGACACAGUGUCAUCCCUAUUGGAGUCAAUAAAGGAGAACGGAAAGAGAGAUUCAAGACACACAAAGAGGAUAAACAUGGAGUUGAAGGCCAUGUGAAGAUGGAAGCAGAGACUGGAAUGAUGCAUCACCAUCAAGAAUUGCUGGCACCCACAAGAAGCUAGGAGAGAGGCGUGGGACAGAUUCUCCCUCUAAACCUCCAGAAGAAACCAACUCUGCUGACACUGUGAUUUCAGACUUCUGGUCCUCACAACUAGGCAUGGUUUGCAUAUCCAUCAUAGUUCAUGACUGACAAUCUAGAGGUUGGAGCUAACAUUGAAAAACAUAUUGAUUAUUAUGGGACCAAGUGUUUCCCAAAUUAGGGCACUGUCCUAGGUACUGUGGGGACCAAAACAUUCAGACCUGCUUCUAAGGAGUGCAGUCCAUGGAAGAGUCAGAAUAACAAAUCAACAUUUGUACUACACCAGACCAGCUCUCUUCUAAGGUUGCUAUGACUUCCCAGCAGGCAUUCUAAUAUAUGCAUUCUUCAUAACAACUGUGUGAAACAUAUUAAUAUCCUCAUUGUUAACGAUGAAGAAACUAAAUCUCAGGAAGAAAAACUAAGUGAAGACAAAAGAAGGAUUUGAACUGAGGUUUGUCAGACUCUCGGGACCAUGCUGUUGAAACCACUAAACCACGCUGCCUCUGGGUCACUUGAUUAUUCUGGGAGAUUCUGGGAGUCUUUUCUCCAACACUCCAGUGGCAUCUGACUAUGUGAGCUGAUAAGAUCUAUAGAUCUCCCCAGCAGUUGUUGAAAAGCAAGAGCAGGAACCGAGAGAAAGCCCCUUCUUUUAGUCGAAAACUCUUACUCUGCUUAGGAAAACCAUGAACCCAAACAGUGUGGGUCAGCCUUUCAAUAUGCAAAACGGACGAAGGCUGAAGCAAUCACAUGCCAUGCACAACUGUCAAACGGCAAGAAUGAAUGAUGGAUGGAAAGAAUGGGAAUGUGUACGUUAUCUUGCUCCACUUUGGACAGUCAUGAUCAUGGAAGAUAGAAGAGGGAUUUCUUAACAUUGGUCAGAGAAGAGGGUAUCAGUUAGCUGGAAGUGCUACUCUGAAAAACUGAUGGCCCUUUGCAGGUGUGACCCUGAGCUCUGCUGGAUUUCUUGUGAAGAAAACUCCAAGGAAUGGAUGAAUGCCUGGAAACUUACUGCUGGAAGUCAUAAGGCAAUGACAAGAAAAUAGCAUAUCAUUGGAAGACUUGACCCAUGGGAUCUAUAAAUUCCUAGGGAAGCUCCUUACUAUAAUUUGUUUGGUUUCUAUGGAAUCCAACAAGAAAAGAAAUAGCGAAACAUGUGGGUUGUCUCCUCUUUGGCACUAAGCCUGGGAGAAUAUGAAGAUAUCUGAAAACAAAGAGGCUUCCUUCAGGUGUUCAGGAGGGGGCUAACACUGCCUACUUGUAUGUCAAGGGCCCAUGGGAGUAGACACUCCCAGAAUGCUACCACUUGGAUUCUCCAGGGAUCAUAUGUGAUACCAAUCAGCUGACAAAGAAAAUAACAACCCAUCUAAGGGGAUUCAGCAGCUAGAAAGAAAAUGAGUAUGCCAAGCAAACUGAAUACACGACCAGCAAAAUAGAACUUCAAAAGGAGACAAAAUACAACAUUCUCUCUCUCUCUGUGUGUGUGUGUGUGUGUGUGUGUGUGUGUGUUUGCAUGUAAAUAACAAAAUUCAAGUUCUGGACACAAUUUUUAGAGCUAAACACAUGACCUUCCAACUAAACUUUUUAUUAGAUAUCAAAGAAGCUGGUCACUGUUGAGGUGAAGAUCAAGUGCAAGAUACAUUUUGAGGCACAGAGCAAAAAUGUAAAGAAUCAGAAAAAGACAAGAGACUUGAGGAUUUAAUCCAAACAACUGAACAGCUAAAAACAAGAGCUACAGGGGCAGAAGAAGAAAAAGUUUAAGAAAGAGACAGUAUAUUAUUUUCUCUGAGAAGAGGUAAAGCUGGAAACCUGUUGUAAGCAAGAUUUAUUGAAUUUUCUCAUCAUAGUCUUAAAAGAGCAGUACUCCAAUAGGUCUUGUUUACUAAAGGAAGAUUUGUUGAAAGAAUCAAACAACUGAUGGAGGCUGAUGAAAAGAAUACAUGACGAUCAAUGACACUUGGUACACACGUUCACACUCACAGACACAUACACAAACGUUGGAUAGGAAAAGGCUGGCUGGCAACAUGUGGCAACAGUGCUCUGUAAGGACUCUUGAAGUAGAAUAAAUAGUCUUACUGAAAGAGGAAUUCAGAUUAUUAUUUUUAAAAACUUGGAACAAGAGUUCUAGGCUGACUCAGCAAAAACUAGGAGCCAGGCUAGGGGAGGGGAUAAGUAAAAAUCCUUCCAAAGGAUUCCUAUCUGGGGAAAGGAGGAGAAGGCCAAGCAUUUAAGAUCUCAUAUUACAGAGGACAGGAGAGGGAGCACAUUGAGAAGAAAUAUAGCAUCUUGGUUGUAUAGUGUGUUCUGGUGUGAAAAUGUGCAUUUAAUGUUCAAAAAUAGUGUGAGAAAAGAUAAUCAUUGAUGGAAUAGUACCAUAAAAGUCCCAAAUUAACAAGAAAAAAAAAAAAAGAAAAACCACAAUAGAUAAUAGCAUGAUCAGCAAAGAUAAGGGAAAGAAAAAAAAAAGAAGUAAUAUAAAAUAAAUAAUUAAAAUAAAGUGUAAAGGAAGACAUAAAAUCAAGUACAAUGGUUACUAUAUCAUUUGUAGGCAGAAUUUUCCCUUUGAAAGACUGAGACGUCAGAUUGGGUUAAAGCAAAUUUAACCCAUGUAUAUGCUAUUUAAAAGAAAAUAAGAUAAAGGUGAACAAAGAUUGAAGAUAAAGAGGUGAAAAAAGAGGUAUCAUACAAAUGCAAGCUAAUAGAAAGUUAUAAUAUUAGUGGCAGCUGAUAUAUUUAAACUUAAAAGCACUAUAGAGGAUAAAAAAUAUUAUAUAAUGAUAAAACUGAUACUACUUGAAGCAAUGAUAAUCAUAAACCUAUAUUUACCCACCAAUUAAAAAACAUCAACUAGCUAAAUACAUAAAGCAAAAACAAUUAAAAAUUUGAGAACUUUUAAAAAGUUAUAAUAGGUAACACUAAUUUAAGGAAGUGAUAGCUCUCUCUAAGAAUUGGACAGAUUAAAUAUGCAAAAAAUUAGUAAAAUCAUAAAGCAAUUGAAGAGUAUCAUACAUCGGUAAGAAUUUGUAAAAAGCUUCCAUCUUUCAAAUAGAGAAUCACAAUUACAAAAUAAUCAUAGUAAUAAUAAUAAUGGUGAUAAUUAUGUACUUGACUAACAAAGGAAAACCUUACAAAUUUUUAAAAGUUGGGUGUGAGCCAUGAGCCAUGGUCUUCUAUCAAGUAUAAUUUGUGACAGAGGAAAAUGAGAGGUGACUAAAGAAAGGUUAUUUCUUAGAAAUAAAAUUUUAAAAAGCACUCUUGAAUUACCAUUGUAGAAAGGGAAAGUCAAAUGGAAAUUAUUAUUUAUCUAAGAACUACAAAGGGAGACUCUUUAUUCUGUAACUUACUACUCCUAAAAU
This 3551-nucleotide long non-coding RNA is filed under the name Homo sapiens (human). Its description in RNAcentral is "HSALNT0064726". The record is from RNAcentral. Lineage: Eukaryota; Metazoa; Chordata; Mammalia; Primates; Hominidae.